RNAcentral lists this long non-coding RNA (1342 nucleotides) under Oryctolagus cuniculus (rabbit). RNAcentral describes it as "lncRNA (ENSOCUG00000035706.1)". The record is from RNAcentral. Lineage: Eukaryota; Metazoa; Chordata; Mammalia; Lagomorpha; Leporidae.
AUGUGGUUGGCAGGGAUCCAAGCACUUGGACCAUCUUCUGCUAUCUCGUCCAUCCUGGCCACCUGGCUGGAGCAAUACCCGGAAGAUUUCGAUCAUCCCCCGCAGUACACCAGUCUGCACGUGCUGCUGGACUACGCACAGCUCCUCCUGCGUGACUCAGAGCUGGGGCACCGUGUGCAACUCCUCCUGGGACGAUUGCAGCACCUGGAGCCCACUGAGGCAGAACUAGAGGGUCCAGCAGAAGCUCCAAUUCCACAACAAGAUCUUGUGCCACCUCCAUCUCUGUUGCCAGAUGGAGCCCCACAGCCAGAACAGGCUCGCAUACCAGCUCUGGAAACCUCCAGGGAGCUCACACCAGACCCCACCGUGGCACUAGCUCCAGAGUGCCAGGGAGCUCCAGCAGCUCCCCCUGUAGAGCCAGUGAAUGCCGCAGGUUCAGAUCCAGACCCCACCGCAGUCUCUGAUCUACUGCAACCUUCUGGGCAGGAAACACCUGUUGCCAAGUCCCAAGACCUUGAGCUCUUUGUAGCUCCACAGCUGGCACCUGUCCCUGGGCCAGUGCUCACAGCCCCAUCCCUUACUACACAAUAUGUAGUAAUGUUCAUCUUUCUCCUUUACCUCCGCAUAAGAAAUUACUAUUCUGUAUACUAUAAAAUUCACUUUUAAUAAAAUAUACUAUUUUAACUUUUUAAGGUAUUCCAUGGCAACCACUUUAACUAUUGCUGUGUGUCCAUCACCACUGUGUCACUCUGGAACCUUUCAUCCAUCUGUACUCCCCAAGUCAUUGCCCCCAACCAUCCAGCGCUAAUCCCUGGCAAUCUCUUCACUCUCUGUCUUCAAGCCUGUACCUACAAUGGAUAUCACAUAUGCAUGCAUUAACACAGCAACUGGCUUCUUGUUUCUUGACACUUAGCAUGAAAUGUGCUUCUUACAUCUUAUUUUCUUUAUCAAGAAAUUUUUUUAGUUAUUUGAAAGGCAGAGAUCAGAGAGAGAGAGAUGGAUGGAGAGAGAGACGUGGAGGGUGGGAGAGAGAAAGAGGACCUCCAUCCUCUCACUACCAAAAUGGCCACAAUGGCCAGGGCUGGGACAGGCCAAGCCAGGAGCCAGGAGUUAUUCCAGGUCUCCCACAUGGGACCAGGGGCCCAGACACUUGGGCCAUCCUCCACUGCUUUCCUUGGAGUAUUAGCAUGAAGCUGGAUCAGAAAUGGAGCAGCCAGGACUCACAUCAGAGCCCAAAUGGAAUGCUGCCGGUUAAGGCAGCAGCUUAACCUGUAGUGUGACAGUGGCCAAAUUUCUUUGUUUUAACCAAAAUUAUUUAAAAAUAAAACCCCAGAGAUAUCCA